RNAcentral lists this ribosomal RNA (422 nucleotides) under uncultured bacterium. Its description in RNAcentral is "bacterial SSU rRNA". It matches the Rfam family "Bacterial small subunit ribosomal RNA", at positions 355 to 774 of the family's 1533-position model. The record is from RNAcentral.
UGAGGAAUAUUGGUCAAUGGAGGCAACUCUGAACCAGCCAAGUCGCGUGAAGGAUGAAGGUCUUAUGGAUUGUAAACUUCUUUUAUACAGGAAUAAAUUGGGGGACGUGUCCCCCUUUGCAUGUACUGUAUGAAUAAGGAUCGGCUAACUCCGUGCCAGCAGCCGCGGUAAUACGGAGGAUCCGAGCGUUAUCCGGAUUUAUUGGGUUUAAAGGGUGCGCAGGCGGGAUGUUAAGUCGGCGGUGAAAUUUUGCAGCUCAACUGUAAAAGUGCCUUCGAUACUGGCUUCCUUGAGUGUGGAUGAAGUAGGCGGAAUUUGUAGUGUAGCGGUGAAAUGCUUAGAUAUCACGAGGAACUCCGAUUGCGCAGGCAGCUUACUAAGCCACUACUGACGCUCAUGCACGAAGGCGUGGGGAUCAAACA